UGUGGUUACUAUAGCAAAGAGGAUACACCUGUUCCCAUUCCGAACACAGAAGUUAAGCUCUUUAGCGCUGAAGGUACUUGGGGGGAGACCCCCUGGGAGAUUAGGACGUAGCCACUU
Molecule: ribosomal RNA, 117 nt
Filed under: Clostridioides sp.
Lineage: Bacteria; Bacillati; Bacillota; Clostridia; Peptostreptococcales; Peptostreptococcaceae
Source: RNAcentral